GAUCGAGCUCUCUCCUCCAUCAGGUCCUCAGUUGUUUUGUGGUUUAAAGCUCUCUCAGCGCGGGGAAGGGGAGGAGACACACACACACACACACACACACACACACACACACACUCAGCAGCUCCGUUCCUCCGUUCGCGAGUAACCGAGCAGGAGGAGGCGAGCGCGAUCAGACCUCCAGGUGUGUGUAGAUGCGCGCGCGCGCAUGUGUGUGUAUGUGUGUGUGUGUUCCAGUCACACCUGGUUGCAUCAUGUGAUCAGAUACCUGGGCGUGGAGCGAGCGUUCAGUGUGUCAUUCGUUAACGGGAAUCCCGGAACCGCAGAUCUCUGUCUCUCCACGCGCGAGUGACAUGUGAACUUUCCGUGCACCGGGAAUCUAUUCCUCUCAGUCUGAAGGGAGUCCGUGGUCUGGACGCUGCAACUACUGCCAAGGUUUUCCCACUCAUCUUCUUCUGGGGCAGCAGACUGUAAGAUAUCUCGAGACCAAACCAUAGGAGGAGGGGACUGAAGACAACACAAGCUGGACCACGUCUCCACCUGAGCUCUGUUUUAAUGCACCAAGUUGCUUCAGCCCUUUAUAACACCGCAAACAGCCUGCAGGUAAAUGAUGAACUAUGCUUUCAGUUUCUGCCAAGAAUAAGCAUUGCUCAUUGUGAUUUAUUGUUCCUAAUUUCAGUUUUAGUGAACAUUUUUGUCUUUCUAUCUUUUUAUAAAUGCUAUAAACACAGUUAAAGGAAUAGUUCAACCUAAAAAUGAAAAUGUGCUUAAAAUAUACUCACCCUCAAGCCAUCCA
Carassius auratus (goldfish) is the source of this 793-nucleotide long non-coding RNA. RefSeq lists it as uncharacterized. NCBI's taxonomy places the organism in Eukaryota, Metazoa, Chordata, Actinopteri, Cypriniformes, Cyprinidae. The record is from RefSeq and is a predicted model, not a curated record. The transcript has 3 exons.